AGAGUUUGAUCCUGGCUCAGGAUGAACGCUGGCGGUCUGCUUAACACAUGCAAGUCGAACGGGCGUAGAAAUACGUUAGUGGCGGACGGGUGAGUAACGCGUGAGAAUCUGCCUUCAGGAUGGGGACAACAGCUGGAACGGCUGCUAAAACCCGAUGUGCCGAGAGGUGAAAUAUUUAUAGCCUGAAGAGGAGCUCGCGUCUGAUUAGCUAGUUGGUGGGGUAAAGGCUUACCAAGGCUGCGAUCAGUAGCUGGUCUGAGAGGAUGAGCAGCCACACUGGGGACUGAGACACGGCCCAGACUCCUACGGGGAGGCAGCAGUGGGGGAUUUUCCGCAAUGGGCGAAAGCCUGGACGGGACAAGACCGCGUGAGGGGAGGAGGGCUCUUGGGGUCGUAAACCCUCUUUUUGUCAGGGGGAGAAAGAACUGACGGUACCUGACGAAUCAGCAUCGGGCUAACUCCGUGCCAGCAGCCGCGGGUAAGACGGAAGGAUGCAAGCGU
RNAcentral lists this ribosomal RNA (501 nucleotides) under uncultured cyanobacterium. Its description in RNAcentral is "bacterial SSU rRNA". It matches the Rfam family "Bacterial small subunit ribosomal RNA", at positions 8 to 541 of the family's 1533-position model. Lineage: Bacteria; Bacillati; Cyanobacteriota. The record is from RNAcentral.